GUAGGGAUACCCGCUGAACUUAA
Molecule: ribosomal RNA, 23 nt
Filed under: Bipolaris oryzae
Lineage: Eukaryota; Fungi; Ascomycota; Dothideomycetes; Pleosporales; Pleosporaceae
Also listed under: 1 other name
Description: partial 28S ribosomal RNA
Source: RNAcentral